UGGGGAAUAUUGGACAAUGGGCGCAAGCCUGAUCCAGCCAUGCCGCGUGAGUGAUGAAGGCCCUAGGGUUGUAAAGCUCUUUCACCGGUGAAGAUAAUGACGGUAACCGGAGAAGAAGCCCCGGCUAACUUCGUGCCAGCAGCCGCGGUAAUACGAAGGGGGCUAGCGUUGUUCGGAUUUACUGGGCGUAAAGCGCACGUAGGCGGACUUUUAAGUCAGGGGUGAAAUCCCGGGGCUCAACCCCGGAACUGCCUUUGAUACUGGAAGUCUUGGGUAUGGUAGAGGUGAGUGGAAUUCCGAGUGUAGAGGUGAAAUUCGUGGAUAUUCGGAGGAACACAAGUGGCGAAGGCGGCUCUCUGGACCAUUACUGACGCUGAGGUGUGAGAGCGUGGGGAGCAAACAGG
RNAcentral lists this ribosomal RNA (404 nucleotides) under Actinomycetes bacterium. Its description in RNAcentral is "Actinobacteria bacterium partial 16S ribosomal RNA". It matches the Rfam family "Bacterial small subunit ribosomal RNA", at positions 355 to 776 of the family's 1533-position model. Lineage: Bacteria; Bacillati; Actinomycetota; Actinomycetes. The record is from RNAcentral.